RNAcentral lists this ribosomal RNA (279 nucleotides) under uncultured bacterium. RNAcentral describes it as "partial 16S ribosomal RNA". It matches the Rfam family "Bacterial small subunit ribosomal RNA", at positions 506 to 784 of the family's 1533-position model. The record is from RNAcentral.
UGCCAGCAGCCGCGGUAAUACGGAGGGGGCAAACGUUGUUCGGAAUUACUGGGCGUAAAGCGCGCGUAGGCGGCGCAUCGAGUUAGGCGUGAAAGGCCUGGGCUUAACCUGGGAACUGCGCUUAAUACUGGUGAGCUAGAGUCCGGAAGGGGGUGGCGGAAUUCCCAGUGUAGAGGUGAAAUUCGUAGAUAUUGGGAAGAACACCGGUGGCGAAGGUGGCCACCUGGACCGGUACUGACGCUGAGGUGCGAAAGUGUGGGGAGCAAACAGGAUUAGAUA